GCCAAAAUUACAAGGGUCACUGUUCCUUUCACAGAUCAGCGACAGCUGUGCGCAAGCAUCCAUGCGCAAACGACCGUUAGGCACCAUCUGGAGUAUCCUUACAAUGUUGAAAACCUGGGUGACAUGGUACUACACCAGACGCUAAACAUCAAACCUAUGGAAUUUCUCGGAUAUACAAGGGAACAAACACGUCCUAAAGAUGUAGCACGAGCUCCACUUGAUACAGAUGCCCAUCAAACCUCAUGCCCAAGGCUUCUGAAGGGUGUACAAGGCCAUCAACCAUUCCACCAAAAAUAUACACACAGCAACCAGAAGCAUCUACACAUGCCCCAUGGAAGGAUCGGUAGUUUGGGCACUGACCAUCAAUUCUUAGUUUCUUCCACAUCUUUCUGGUCAUUUUCUUGGAACCUGACUCGUAUUGAAGUAGAGCUGGUGUAUCCAAGAUCCAAAAGUCAUCCUUUCGUCGCCUUUGUGAGUCCUCCCCGCCAUACACAAGGACCUUGCCACCCAACACAAGUAUCGCUGAAUGCCCAACCCGUGGAAAAGGAAGCUCACCAAGAGCACUAGACAAGCCAUACUUUAGCUCCUUCCAUUUGGGGUAUUGAUCACUGAUAUCAAACAGCCAGACAUCAUUAAGAACCUCAAAUUCCGAUCCUCUACCACCAAAUAAUACCAUGCAUGUGCUGCCAAUCCAAGUUAAAGAGUGGCCAGAACGAGGUUGAGGCAAAGGCCAUGUGUUGCCUAUUUGGUGCCAGCUGCCAGACUGAAGGCCAUUUGAGAGAUCAAGAAGCCAUGUAUCACCAAGCCGGCUUCCAUAGAGCCCUAUCCCACCAUGAAUGACAAUAAACUUGUCAUCCACACAGCAGGCUGCAUGAGCUCCACGUGGAGGUGGUGCAAGCCGACCUACCUCCAGCAAUCUCCAUGAGAUCCGUGGCCUUCGAGGCUCUUCACAGAUGAUUUGACCAGUCCAUGUAUCAUUCAAACGCUGUCCCUGAUCUGUGAUUCCACCAAACAAGACUAAUG
This 1023-nucleotide unclassified non-coding RNA is filed under the name Zea mays. RNAcentral's name for it is "misc RNA Zm00001eb414280". Lineage: Eukaryota; Viridiplantae; Streptophyta; Magnoliopsida; Poales; Poaceae. The record is from RNAcentral.